RNAcentral lists this long non-coding RNA (834 nucleotides) under Felis catus (domestic cat). RNAcentral's name for it is "lncRNA (ENSFCAG00000051772.1)". The record is from RNAcentral. Lineage: Eukaryota; Metazoa; Chordata; Mammalia; Carnivora; Felidae.
GGGGCACCUGCGUGGCUCGGUCAACAGAUAACACAAGGGUUCAUGAGUUGAUAGUUGCGGAAACUGUAGAAUGGGUAGAUGGAAAGUCACUACUCCCUCCUCUCUCUUUUGCUUGAAAUUGUACAUAUAUAAGAAAACCUUUGUAAAAAUUAUGCAAUCAUCUGGCUUUAUGCAUUUGUCUUUCUUCCUCAGGGAGUUGCAUCAUUAGCGAACGCGGACAUUUAUAAAUGGAGAGCCGUCAAUUCUAAAGGACCUUUUUGCGCGUGCAAGUUUGCAUUUCUGCACCAACCCGGAUUCUGGCACACCGUAGGCACGCGAUACAUUUCAGUGAAGAAGAAAAACAAAAACAAAGGGAAGGUGCCGGGCCACAGUUUGCAAGACUUCCAUUUUGUCAUGGCUGUAAGAAAGAGGAGGAAGAGAUAACCAUGAGAACAGAACUGAUAUUAGGAAUUUGGCCCCAGGGAAGAAGUUUCCAGGGAAAGGCGUAGAGUCCACGUAGGUACAAUUUGACUUAAUGUUCUUUCUAUUUCAUCAUGGGUGGUUAUUCAGUACAGAAUGAGGGCACUGAAAAAGUCUGAAUUAUCCAAGAAAAAUGAUACUUUUUCGACUCGUGGUUUAGUUUAUUGGCAUCCAAACCUGCUUCCUAAAAGAUGACACAUUUACCACUUUCCGUGUUUAAAGAUUAGGAAGUAUUUCUGGGGCACCCGGCCGGCUCCGUUGGUGAGGUGUUUGUCUCUUGAUCUUGGGGUCAUGAGUUCAAGCCCCAUGUUGGGCAAAUUGGGUGUAGAGAUUACUUAAAAAUAAAAUCUAAAACUAAAUAAAUAAAUAAAAAUA